UAGGGUUUUUUCAUGAAAGGAUUUGUGAUGUUUGCUGAGUUUUUAUGGAAGAAAAUGAGUCUUGGGUGUCUUAUAAACAACUUUUGUGAAAGGUGUUAGCAUGAAAAGACCUAAAAGGUCUAAUGUGCAUAAGUUGUAAAUUAGAUAAUAAAUGUGUGAAAUAGUGGGAAUUUGGAGUUGCUAUAAGAGUCAAAAAGGUUCGGCUAGUCUUGAGAAAUAAAUAAAUUCGACAAAAGUCGAUUUUCGGGCCUAGGGAUAAAAUGGUCAUUUUGUCAAAAUUCAGGGGCAAAAUGGUCAUUUUACCAAAUUUGUGAAUUGUCGAUUGCUUAAUUUUAUUUAGUGACUAAAUGAGUAAUUUUUGCUAUUUUAAAUCUAGAAUUUCCAAAUCCAAAUCUAGACCGGGGGAAAGCCAAGCAACCGACUAAAUCGACUAGUCGCCACAUUUUGUAAUCCGAGUUAGCUCAAGGAGCAAAGGAAGUCAAAGAUAUCGAUCACACUAUCAAUUGAAGCAUUUGGUAUAGUUUGAUUUAUAUUUUUGAAUAUGACAUGUAUAGGUAGCUAGACUUGUGUUUUGUGUUGUUACUAAUUUGGCCAAAUAUGUUGGCUUGAGAUAAAAUUCCUUAUUUUGUAUUAAGCCUUGAAUGAUGGCUAAUAUUCAUUUUGAUAUAUGUAAAUGGUGUUUUGUUCAUGGAUGAGUAGAAUGUACAAAUGAAA
Gossypium arboreum is the source of this 714-nucleotide long non-coding RNA. RefSeq lists it as uncharacterized. The record is from RefSeq and is a predicted model, not a curated record. NCBI's taxonomy places the organism in Eukaryota, Viridiplantae, Streptophyta, Magnoliopsida, Malvales, Malvaceae. The transcript has 2 exons.